GGAGGGAUGGCCGAGUGGUUUAAGGCAUUGGUCUUGAAAACCAACGUAGCGCACCGCGCUACCGUGGGUUCGAAUCCCACUCCCUCCG
RNAcentral lists this transfer RNA (88 nucleotides) under Chloroflexota bacterium. Its description in RNAcentral is "Chloroflexi bacterium tRNA-Ser". It matches the Rfam family "tRNA". Rfam says of the family: Transfer RNA (tRNA) molecules are approximately 80 nucleotides in length. Their secondary structure includes four short double-helical elements and three loops (D, anti-codon, and T loops). Further hydrogen bonds mediate the characteristic L-shaped molecular structure. tRNAs have two regions of fundamental functional importance: the anti-codon, which is responsible for specific mRNA codon recognition, and the 3' end, to which the tRNAs corresponding amino acid is attached (by aminoacyl-tRNA synthetases). tRNAs cope with the degeneracy of the genetic code in two manners: having more than one tRNA (with a specific anti-codon) for a particular amino acid; and 'wobble' base-pairing, i.e. permitting non-standard base-pairing at the 3rd anti-codon position. The record is from RNAcentral. RNAcentral also lists the same sequence under 3 other names. Lineage: Bacteria; Bacillati; Chloroflexota.